Molecule: long non-coding RNA, 6201 nt
Organism: Choloepus didactylus (southern two-toed sloth)
Lineage: Eukaryota; Metazoa; Chordata; Mammalia; Pilosa; Megalonychidae
Exons: 5
Source: RefSeq, a predicted model, not a curated record
CUUUCCUAUGAAUGUGAUGCCUGCUCGGGCUGAGAGAGCCGUCAUCAUCUCUCCACGACUUCUCACCCUUUGACUUUCCUAUGAAUGCAAUGCCUGCCCGGCCUGAGAGAGCUGUCAUGAUCUCUCCACAACUUCUCACCCUGGUGGAGGGAGAAGGAAGUGCCAAGGGCCCUUUGCCAGUAAGCCUAUAGUUGGACAAGGGAAAGUUUAUUCUGAAAAUGAUGGAAUUUUACUUGUCGAAGCAAAAUGGUGAAAAUCCCCUCUGAGCAUUGCAGAUGCAACCACUGGGUUGAGAGAGUCUUGCAGGUCAUCUUCAGAGAUACAUUUGAAGUCAUUAAGUCCCUGAACAGUCCAUCCAAGAGGAGAAAGCAAGAAAUUUGUCCAACAGCUCAUGUGUCAUCAGUGAAAGUUUUCUCACCUAUGGAAGCCAUGUGGUGGGAGGCAAGAGUGUUCAUUUCAGCAAUGACUAAGAAACCACCAUUGGGCUGUGCCCACAAAUGACCGUGGAGACCGGGAGCAGCACCCAGAGGGGGCCUUGCAUUGUGACGGUAGUAACAGCAGCAGCAUGAACGUGGCUCUUUGUAUAAAUUAUUUUUAGGCUGCUCCUGCCAGAGAAGAAGGAAAGUACGUUAAUGGGGAGUGAUGCAUAAGCCAGAAACAGCACAGAAGAUUUGGUCUUUGGUUGGAAAAUGGACAGUUUAUCCAAAAUAACAAGAGACACUGUGAGAUGUUGGGGGUAUAGUUGCAGGUAGAUAGGCAGUAGAGGGGCUUAUAAAAAUUCUCUUCCCUUUGCUUAUGUUUUCUCAGUAAAAUUAACUGAAAGUGAGAACUGAGGAGUAGGAGAUAAGAGAAAGGAGGGACUUAAAAUAGUCAUCUAGGAGAAUGGGAACUUAAAAAGACCAGGGAUCCUGGGAGCACUCACCUUAUCUAGGGAGCCUCAAAAGCUUCCUGGGGAAGGAGGCCUUGAAACUUAGACCUUAAGAAUGAACCAGAGUGUUUUGAAUGGACAGAGGCUUAUCUUUUGGAAAAGGAAAUAUAGUAUAUGCUAAGACCUGGGGACUAGGAAAUGUAUAGCACAUUGAAAUAUGAAUAUUGCUGGGUGUCCUGCACAAUAAGCAAAUGUAGGAAUUGAGUUUGUAGAAAUAGUUAGUUGGAAGAUUUCUCUUCAGGUUUUAUAUUCCAUGGGAUUGUAAAAAUAAAAUCUGUAAUGGGAAAGAAAGAUAAAAAUUAAAUUAGCGAAAGAAGAAAAGGAUAAUUGCUUUUAAUUACUUAAUUACUUUUGAUUAAGUAGGGCUUUGAUCUUGUCCAAAGAUGUUAAUAAUGAAAAUACUUAGUGAAUUAAGGUUAUGAAAAUAGAAGUCAAGAAUUAAGAAAUUUACAAAUACUGAUACACUGGGAAUUCCUGAUGUCCCUAAUGAAAGUCACAAUCAGCUGCAAGAACAGAAAAGUGAGCAUAACUGCAAUUCACAAAUGAUGAAAAGUAUUCAUCAUUUUGCAGAUAAUAGACUAAACUAUCUUCAGCUCCUGUAGUUAUUACAUCAGAGAGGAAUGUAAUGACAUAUUUAUCAUACUUAGUACCAUUAAUAGAAGUAUCCUAAAAGCAUACACAGAAUUACAUAAACACACAUCUAUGUGCAUAUAUAGAUAUUCACAACUUUGGCAGAGAAGCUAGGUAAAAUGUGAAAUGGAAGAACAUAAAAAUAAAACCAAGUACCAUCUUGGCAAUAAGAAUUCUUUUCCUCUACUUAGGUGUCUUUCCAAAAAUAAGAGUAUGCAUUAGCAUCAAUUCAGAUAGUAAUAUGUUUUUAAUAUUUAUAUCUCUAGAAGGUUUUUAUACUUCCCAUAAAUAAUCAAAAUAUACUUGGACAAAAUGACUUCCAAAACUAUGGAGAAUUAAGAGCAAAUCUGACAGAGUAAUGAGAAUCCAUUAAAAAAUAUAGCACUUGGGUAUAUUCAAAUUUUAGGUCUUCAGCUAAACUUGUUAAUAAUUGCCCCACUUAUUGCAUGUGUCCUGAAAUAAUGCAUCACUGAUGACAUUCUUUUCAUUGUAUUCAUUCACGUGCCUUCUAUGUUCUCAGAGUUAAAAGUUAUGGGGAAUACUAAAAGUAACAGACUACCUACCCUUGAGGAGAUUCCCAGAGAAAACUUGUGAGAAUUACAGUUCCUCCUUCCAUCCCCAACUCAAAUAAUGUAAUUGGCUUAAGUCCAUUAGGCUUCUCAUUAUGGAAAAGGGUCUAGUAGAACCACAUGAAUCAUGAGUUAUUCCAUCCUUAGCCAUUAAGACACAGUGGAAAAUAUAAGUCAUUGCAUGCAUGACAUGCUGUGGUCCACCGAGGGGGAGAAGUGGUGUGCUUCCUUUAAUUACUCCCUUGGAACCACACAUGUCUAGCCAUGGUCUUUUCUUUUACUAUUUUCCAAAUAAUUACUACUCUAAUUGCUUCAUCUGGAGCAGCUCGUGUUCAUUCUAAUACUUGGCUGCCAGUGUUCUUUCUUCCCUCUUCUCUCCACUCACACAUUCUCCUCCCACCUUCCUUUCUUUGUUCCUUCUCUUUCUUGCUCUCUUUUUUUUAGCAUCUAAAUCUGAUGAAGUUCUGGUUUUUACUCUUUGAAAGUUUAAGUGGUUGAAUUAAAUCACAACUUUCUUUGGUCAAUCAUCUAGGGAGCUGUUUUGGAAUCGAGGAAACAUUUUGUUUACGACUCAAGCUUUCCACCUGUGCUGACAUGGCAUGGACUUUACAGCUAUAUUGAAAGCGUUAUAACCAGCAACUCAGAAAUUCCACAUUCUCUUGAGCUGCAUUAUUCUGGAACGUUUGUCAGGCAGCCAAUUGCCUUGUCAGCCCCUAAUUGAUUUACAUUAACAUCUGUAGGAAUGAGGUGGGGUGAGGGUGGGGUGAGCCUGGGCUCACUUGAGAACACCCAGUUGUGGAGUUUCAUGUGGGCAUGAGAGAUUUACAAACAGAAUUGAAAAUAAACGCCAUGUUUUCUUUUAUUUUGUUUGUUUUAUUUUUAUGCAAUGUGCUUAAAUUACAGAUGUUCACAAAGCCAAUAUAAACUUUUAUUACUUUGUGAAAAGUUGAGUGAGCUUAGCCUCUCCGUCACUUAGCUGUAAAGAACACCUGGCCCGAAAGGCAGGCUUCGUUUUUCCCUUGGGCAGGGGGAGAAUAAAGAAACCAAGAAAACCCUUAAGAAUGUUCCCCUCUGACAGCUUUCAUUUACAAAAGUAUGGUAGUUAGCUUUAAUAGCUCUCUCUUAUACUUAGACCCUACUCCUCCUGGAUUAGAAACAUAAAUCUGUAUUUCUCAUUUAGAAACACCUGGUCUGAUGUUAGGUCCAGCGUGAGGGAGUCUGGAGAAAUCUGUAAAAGGGGAUCACUGGUGGGGAUGCACAAGAUACUUGUUCACUACAAAGUUGCUUGUGGGCACAAAUGGUCUAUACUAGAGGUCUCAUAUUAGCAGUGGAACAUCUAGAGUGCCUUGGCCCACACAGUAUUUUAACUGCUGACGUCCUUCAUAGACACCACAGUCCCUGCCACUCCCUGGUGAUCACACGUGGUCCAGUGCACACAUUUAGAUUAUAUGUCUGACCUUUGUUGAUAUGAGUUUGCAAUCUUUAAUUUUUACACUGCCACCCUGAAGCUUCUGCAAGAGAGAUAGAGUAGGGGUUAGGGAUGAUAAGAGAUAUGUAUGGUGUGAGUGUGGGGACCACAGAGCUAUAGGAUGAGAGAAAGGAGUUACAUAGGUUUGUCUGGGCCUCUGUCUAUGGGGCAACAAUAGCUGAGAAUGACUCUGGGGAAAGGGCCUAGUUCUUUCUACUUCUUGCUCCCAGAAAACUACCAGCUGGUCAACAGAGGCACUGGCGGCAGGCUUGUGGGGUCGAGCAACUUGCUGAUGGGACCCCUGGGUUAUAGCACUCCUGGGUCACAGUGUUCUUUGAUUUCCACACGCCUUAGUUACAGAACACCCUGUUCAUAGCAUGCCUGUGUCAAUAGAGCUCAGUGGUUGCCAAAUGCGUUGGUCACAACUUGCCUUGGUUACUGAAUGCCUUAGACUUUGGCACAACUUGGUCGGAGUGCACCUUGGUCACAACAUCGGGACCACAGUGCUCCUUGGGUCCCAGCAUAUUGGUCCCUGAGCAAUUUUGUAACAGUACACUUUUGUCAUGGCACCAAGCCUAGGUCACUGGGUGUGUUGUUCACAGUGAUUUGAUCAUAGCAUGCCUUGGCCACAGUAUGUUUGCUUUAUUAUGCUGGGAUCUUUGUGGAUGGGUCACAGCAACCUUUGGCCAUUGUGGGCUUCUGUCUCCAUUUUCUUGGGUCAUACAGUGCCUAGGAUGCUUUGCUCACUACAUACAUGGUAGUCACCAUGUACCUGGACACCUGGAUUACUGCACACCUGGGUCACUGUGUGCUUGGGUCAUGUCUCAUCUGGGUCAUAGUAUGACUUGGCUAUGAUGUGCUUUCCAUUUGUGAAGUAAUGGCAAUUAGAAAUAACCUUUUUGGGUUUUGGUAUUCACAUGACAGGAGGGGAUCCAGAAGUAUAGUAAGAGAGACAUCAUAUAACUAGUAACACAGGUACUCAAAGUCACAUUGAUAUGCAUAGUAAAAGAAUGUGUGUCCCAGAUUUUUAAGGCAGACAUUUUGUAGACAUGCUUGUACAUACAUAGAAGAUAUCAAAAAGGAUAUAUACCCAAAUGGUGGCAAUCAGUUUUUGUGGGUAGUGAUAUUAGAGUCUACUUUUAUCCUUUAUUCUUUGUAAACAUCUUUAUUUAAUAUUUUAAGGCAAAUGAAACCCUUUAUUCUUCAUGACCCACCUCCAGUGUCACAACUGCUGGGACACCUAGCCAGAUGGUUGCCAGUAGGUAUCGAUCACUUUUCCCUCUGGCUUCUGGGCACUGUCUCUGUCACUCCUGGGGACCACACUGGGGUAGUGGCAGGGAUGGGCAGGAAUCUGUCUCUUCAGCUGCUGCUUCUUCAUCUUUUUAAAAGCCUGCCUUUUCUCCAACAGAAUAUGACAGCACAUUUCUAUUCAUAGACCACUCAUUGGACAAAUGCUGAAUUAUCUGCAAACAACUCUACUGCCCCCUUCUCUGUAUUAAUUUCAUAAGGCCUAGAAAAAAAUCUAAAGAUCAUUGUCUCAUUUUUCUUGGCUUCUGUGCUGAAAUAAAACUAAAACUUUCUAGAGAGAAAGUUAUUAGCUAUUCUGAAGAACCUCCUAAGAAGCUUAUUCCACAACAUCCUUUACAGCUUGAUAAAGCUUCUCCUUAUAACCAAGUUGAAGUGCUCUUUCUGCAGUACAGCCUAUUACUGAUCUCAAGAGCAGUUAUAGAACCUGCCCCAGAAUCAUCCAAAAGGUAUAAGCACAAUCCUUGCGAACAUAGAAAUCCAGUUUCAUUUCUGGGGUCCUCAGUCAUUACAUCCAGCCUUUUUAGAACAUUGCAGUUUUAUGAGUGCUUUCAUGGACAUCGUUUCCCUUGAACUUUGCAACAAUCCUGCAACAAAGACAGUACUCAUUUUAUUAACCAUAUUUUACAAAUAAGAAAAUGAAAAAAUAAUUUCCAAAACUGCUCAAUCUCUGGUUUCAGGUUGGGUGUAAAACACAAACUUUUAUCUUUUAACAUAUGAUCAUAAAUACGGCUUUUUUCGUUGGAACCCACAAUAUCAGACGGAGAUAAGUAUAGGAGCAGAUCUUAUUCUUCCAUAGCAAAUCAAUGAUUUGCUCAAGAUUUUCACUGACAGAAAUGAAAACAGGUUUCCUGAUUGUCUUACAUUUUAUUCAAUAAUAGUAGCAAAAGAAAUAUUAGAAGUAGUAGUAGUAAAGCAGCUAUCUUUAUUUAACCCAUUAUUGAGGCUGGAAAUCAUACUCAUGUGUAUUAUUUGUGAUCCCCACAGUAACCCUGGAAAGUAGGUGUUAUUUCCAAAUUACACAUGGGGAAGCAGAGGCUUAGAGAUUAAAUAAUUCACACCCCUAAGUAACAGGCUAGAGCAGGAAUUGGCAUCUAUAUGUGUCUGACUCCUAAAUCUCACAACUAACCCAUUGUGCCUCACUAAAUUAUAAACAUUUGCCUUAUUUGUGUCAUGUCUUCAAUACUUAUUCCACAAAUUAAUAAAAGGCAUUCAUGAGGUUUGAUCUAUUUUGUUUAUAUUUGCAAGUUUCUUCCUUAUUCUCAUCCCUGUAAUGAACAUUUCUCCUCAUUCAAUAGUGA